GCCAUAAUUUCUCCUUCCCCAACCUCCUCUCUAUUCUCUCGCCACCCCUCCCAUCGAUCUCCACCGUCGCCUUCCUUUCCAUCAUCAUCGGCGUCAACCUUCCCCUCCGAUCCCCCUCAGGUGCUUUCCUUCCCAUAUAUCACAGAAAAGAGAGAGAAAUGAUAAGAAAAAAGGAGAAGAAAUGGUUCCUCCCUGCUUUACUCACCGUGACCUCCCGUCGGUCUCCAC
This 228-nucleotide long non-coding RNA is filed under the name Elaeis guineensis (African oil palm). RNAcentral's name for it is "long non-coding RNA (EGUI_LNC020538)". The record is from RNAcentral. Lineage: Eukaryota; Viridiplantae; Streptophyta; Magnoliopsida; Arecales; Arecaceae.